CCUACGGGAGGCAGCAGUGGGGAAUAUUGCGCAAUGGGCGAAAGCCUGACGCAGCGACGCCGCGUGAGGGAUGAAGGUCUUCUGAUCGUAAACCUCUGUCAGCAGGGAAGUACGGUCACUGUGCUAAUCAGCAGUGAAUUGACGGUACCUGCAAAGGAAGCACCGGCUAACUCCGUGCCAGCAGCCGCGGUAAUACGGAGGGUGCGAGCGUUAAUCGGAAUUACUGGGCGUAAAGCGCUCGUAGGCGGUAUGUCAAGUCAAGGGUGAAAGCCCCGAGCUCAACGUGGGAACUGCCUUUGAAACUGGCAAACUGGAGUGUGUGAGAGGAUAGUGGAAUUCCAGGUGUAGGAGUGAAAUCCGUAGAUAUCUGGAGGAACAUCAGUGGCGAAGGCGACUAUCUGGCACAUAACUGACGCUGAGGAGCGAAAGCGUGGGUAGCAAACAGGAUUAGAUACCCGAGUAGUC
This 465-nucleotide ribosomal RNA is filed under the name uncultured bacterium. RNAcentral describes it as "partial 16S ribosomal RNA". It matches the Rfam family "Bacterial small subunit ribosomal RNA", at positions 338 to 795 of the family's 1533-position model. The record is from RNAcentral.